AUUUAGGACCCUUAACAGAGUAUCUCAGAAAUUGUUUACAGCUGCAAAGUGAUCAAUGUCUUGGCGAUCUGCCGACACCCAAUAGUAAUCUUCUAAUAAAUCUAACUACAAGUACAAAAAUAAGUGCCCAAUAAGUUGAAAAAAGGAAAAUAAGAAUAAAUAAUCUAGAUUUGUUCGUUUAAAUCCUUAAGACAGAAAAGAAAGAGAAUGGGGGAUGAAGAAGCCGCCUUGCCAUGCUUGAAUUCAAGAAUUAACACUCAAAUCUUAUAUCUAAAAGAGGAGGCUUAGAGACAGCACAAGCAUGCUUAAAAAUAAUUAUUAUAAACUCAACUGGCCAAGAUCCUAGCAUAACUGACUAAAACAGAGGAUAUGGCAUUCCACAGUUGCCCAGGAAAACACUGGCUGAGCACCUUAAACUCUUAAACAACAUCAGGAUCAUAUCCCCAACGCAACUAAGAAAACACAAAUCUGAAGUCAAAAAGGAAUAAAACAACUAUCCCAAGUCUUAGAGUUCCAAAUUACAACUCAAUAAUUACCCAAAGCUCACCAUACUAGAAGAAGGGGGAAA
RNAcentral lists this unclassified non-coding RNA (568 nucleotides) under Hevea brasiliensis (rubber tree). The record is from RNAcentral. Lineage: Eukaryota; Viridiplantae; Streptophyta; Magnoliopsida; Malpighiales; Euphorbiaceae.